GAUGAACGCUGGCGGCGUGCCUAAUACAUGCAAGUCGAGCGAACAGACGAGGAGCUUGCUCCUCUGACGUUAGCGGCGGACGGGUGAGUAACACGUGGAUAACCUACCUAUAAGACUGGGAUAACUUCGGGAAACCGGAGCUAAUACCGGAUAAUAUAUUGAACCGCAUGGUUCAAUAGUGAAAGACGGUUUUGCUGUCACUUAUAGAUGGAUCCGCGCCGCAUUAGCUAGUUGGUAAGGUAACGGCUUACCAAGGCAACGAUGCGUAGCCGACCUGAGAGGCUGGUGGGCGCAGAUGGAGGUGAGCUACGGACCAGCCCCCUACGGGAGGGAGGAGAAGCGGCGUGGCUGCGAUGGGGCUGAGCAUUACAGAUCGCUGGCAAGAGAGAAAUAAAAGUGUUCGGAUAGUACAACACUGCUAGGAGGUACGAACAAAGAUGUCAGGGGCUAAGCACGUCUUGGCGGUACCGAAUAGGAACGGAACCGCUAGCUACGUG
Molecule: ribosomal RNA, 497 nt
Filed under: uncultured bacterium
Lineage: Bacteria
Description: partial 16S ribosomal RNA
Rfam family: Bacterial small subunit ribosomal RNA
Source: RNAcentral